Molecule: long non-coding RNA, 963 nt
Organism: Populus nigra (black poplar)
Lineage: Eukaryota; Viridiplantae; Streptophyta; Magnoliopsida; Malpighiales; Salicaceae
Exons: 2
Source: RefSeq, a predicted model, not a curated record
GGUCACUGAAUUUAGAAUAGAAAGCUUUUCAGACCAGUUUGGUGACAGAGGAUUGGAGAGAGGAAUGUUCAAUUUCCAUCCAAGGUGUUCUAGACCUGAUCUUGUUCUUGGUGUAAAGCCUCGUACUGAUAGGUCAGGCAUAACAGUUCUGCUGCAAGACAGAUAAGUGGAAGGACUUCAAGUUUCAUAAAUGAUAAAUGGGUUAGAGUCCCAUAGUUCCCGAUGCACUUGUUGUUAAUCUCGGAGAUCAAAUGCAGGUCCAUAAAUGCAAUGUUGGUUGCAAAAAGCGAGUAUGAAAGCAAAUGACGAGGAAUUGUUGAAGCUUACAGGAUUAAGAAAUGUCUGGAUUUAGCUAUGCUAAAGGGAGACAGAAUACCCUCAAAUGUAAUGAUUUUAGCAAGAGAGGUUGUGAACUGAGGUGGCUUUCCGGUCAAGAUUUUGUUGUUUUCAGCAGAGAUCAGAAUAUAAGAUAAACCCGUGUAACGGGUUGCAAUGUCUCUAAUCCCGUUGCUAGCUUCAGGUCAAGUUAAACAAAGGACAGUCUUACAUCGGCAGCGAAGCAGCUCAAUGGCUGAUAGAAGAGAAAAGAUAGCACUGGACACAGUAAAAACUUAAAAAAAGGAAGUUCCGCUCGCUGUCUGAGCUGGUUUUUCCAGUUGAUGGGUUUCAGCUGGUUUUUGUCAGCGCAUCCUAUGCCUUGUGUUUCAAGGGCUGUGCUGUGUCUGUAAGUAGCAGGCAUUUUAGUAGUUCUUGUAAUCUGCCCGAAGACAAGGAGGAGAUACUACCAAAAUUUCCAGUCUUGGAAGUUGCAACUUCAACAUUAAAAUAAUCUCUCAUGGAUUAGGUCACAAGUUGCUAUUUUCAACAAACGAUGGCAGCUUGUAUGAUCAUAUUUUAUCAUGAUAGUGACCAAUUACCCCACUUUCUUAAUCAUUAGAAUUACUUGAUGCUUUUAGUGAACCA